Molecule: ribosomal RNA, 559 nt
Filed under: uncultured bacterium
Lineage: Bacteria
Description: bacterial SSU rRNA
Rfam family: Bacterial small subunit ribosomal RNA
Source: RNAcentral
GAAGAACCUUACCAGGUCUUGACAUCGGAUGCAUAACCUAGAGAUAGGCGAAGUCCUUCGGGACAUCCAGACAGGUGGUGCAUGGUUGUCGUCAGCUCGUGUCGUGAGAUGUUGGGUUAAGUCCCGCAACGAGCGCAACCCUUGUAUUCAGUUGCUACGCAAGAGCACUCUGGAUAGACUGCCGUUGACAAAACGGAGGAAGGUGGGGAUGACGUCAAAUCAUCGUGCCCCUUACGACCUGGGCCACACACGUACUACAAUGGCGCACAACAGAGGGAAGCAAGACAGCGAUGUGGAGCAAACCCCUAAAAUGCGUCCCAGUUCAGAUUGCAGGCUGCAACCCGCCUGCAUGAAGUCGGAAUUGCUAGUAAUCGCGGAUCAGCAUGCCGCGGUGAAUACGUUCCCGGGCCUUGUACACACCGCCCGUCACACCAUGGGAGCCGGUAACACCCGAAGUCAGUAGCCUGACCGCAAGGAGGGCGCUGCCGAAGGUGGGAUUGGUGACUGGGGUGAAGUCGUAACAAGGUAGCCGUAUCGGAAGGUGCGGCUGGAUCACCUC